CGGGGGGAGCAAGCGUUGUUCGGAUUUACUGGGCGUAAAGGGCGCGUAGGCGGCCACCGCAAGUCGACUGUGAAAUCUCCGGGCUUAACCCGGAAAGGUCAGCCGAUACUGCGGGGCUAGAGUGCAGAAGGGGCAACUGGAAUUCUCGGUGUAGCGGUGAAAUGCGUAGAUAUCGAGAGGAACACCUGCGGCGAAGGCGGGUUGCUGGGCUGACACUGACGCUGAUGCGCGAAAGCUAGGGGAGCGAACGGGAUUAGAUACCCCGGUAGUCCUAGCCUUAAACGAUGAAUGCUUGGUGUCUGGGGUUUUAUAGUCCCCGGGUGCCGUCGCUAACGCUUUAAGCAUCCCGCCUGGGGAGUACGGUCGCAAGACUG
RNAcentral lists this ribosomal RNA (374 nucleotides) under uncultured organism. Its description in RNAcentral is "bacterial SSU rRNA". It matches the Rfam family "Bacterial small subunit ribosomal RNA", at positions 526 to 896 of the family's 1533-position model. The record is from RNAcentral.